Molecule: unclassified non-coding RNA, 437 nt
Filed under: Hevea brasiliensis (rubber tree)
Lineage: Eukaryota; Viridiplantae; Streptophyta; Magnoliopsida; Malpighiales; Euphorbiaceae
Source: RNAcentral
AGGACUGGACGGCCAAAGGCAGUUGCUUCCCAUUGCAUGAUUGGCAAGAGAACCUUCUCAAAAAGAAAUGGCACUCCCCAUUUCAAUAAAAUGAGUAGAAGUAUAAUCAAGAGAAUGCAUAAUGCCAGAGCUUUGAUCCACCAAAUGAAAGAUUUAAUUCUUGCAUUUGCUUCAGUUUGUAAGAUGUGGGUGUCUUCAGGUUCAGCUACUCUUGGUUCAUUGGAAAUAACAAGCCUAACAUAUUCACUGUCUUCCCUUAAAUUCACAGGAUGAUGCUCAGAGUUUGCAGCUUCAUUUCCAGACACCUCAGAGGUCUCUGGCAUCUUCACUAGGAUCCCCUGAGGCUAUAUCUAUCUGAAAUGGAAAUUGAGAGGAGGAAAUGGAAAUCGGACAGUCCGUCGGAGAAGAAGUCGCCGACGAUCUUGGUUGCUUGGUCU